ACUCACAAACAUCGGCUUGCUGAGAUCGCGCAGUACGGGCUGGAAAUCAUCUUUAACAGAUUUUGACUAAGAGAAUAUUAAAAAACGGUAAAAAUUUGGCCGGAGGUGACCAUUCAUAUCAUGUCUGCCUUGACAGUUCUCCCCGCAAACCGGUUUUAAACUUCCUAACGGUCUUUGAUCUUUCGGUGUUGUGAUCGAACGGUUAGUUUGGUUUUACAUAAGCCAGUUUAAUUCUUGACUGAAGGAAACCAGCGCUGACUCGGUGAAAGUUCUUAGUCCAGAAUAAAAUCAUGGUCUAAAGAGCCACCUUUUCCUAGAGUCGAGGCCCCGCCGUCUAGAAGGGACGCGCAGCUCUGGAGACGAAAACGCAAACGGAAUCGACCCUCGAGUUUUUUACAUGACAAGAAGCAUGAAGCUCGUGGUUUUCGCUGUUAUCGCGUCUGCCUUUAUUUCUCUCGCCUGUUCCAUUCAGUGUUACCAAUGUGUUCCUAAGGCGACACCCAGCUGCAGCUCAUCUCAAACCCCCCACGAGUGCGCCGCGCAUCAAACAAAAGCGACUUGUCCCGAGGGACUGGAUCACUGCGUGCGGUCACGUUUCACCAAUGCAUCGAUAGACAUAGAGAAACGGUCAUGUGCAAGCUCAAAGACAUGUGGCAGCCUAAAGCUUUCUUGCGAUCAUCUCAAGGCAAAAGAUAGGCGCGUGAAGUGCCACUGGUCGUGUUGUCAGGAAGACCUUUGUAACGCAAGCGUCUAUCCUGUCGCACAAUUUGUUAUGCUGGUGAUUGUUGCCUGUGUGCUGUACGCGUUUCUUUAACCCAUAAGAUAUCCGAUGAAGUAAAAGGCGAGGUUGGUUCCUAAGAAAGAGAGUUUGCGAGCUGCGUUCCACUUUGUUAGGUGGGCGCAGUUCAUGACAUUAUACAUAAAGCAGCAUAAAGGGCUGUGGAAGAUUGGACUGAAAAAAAAAAUGUAUUCUGAAGUAUGCAGAGCCUUAUAAUUUUACUGACAACGUUAAGAUUUUAUGCGUGAAUUAUAUUACUGAACAGGUUAAUCGGUAUCCUCGAUAUAAACCAGCGCCUCUAGCUCCUUUCUUCGCCUUGUUUUUACUACAGCGCUGGCAAACUCGUCUUUUCAACGCCACAGAUAUUAAAAACGCGAGAAGAGGAGCUAGUUUGGAGCUAUCGUGUAGCGAGAAAGCUGACGUCUCUCAAUAACGGUUGAAGACGGAAUAGAACGUUGAAGUCUUGCAGUUACUCUCGCAGACUUUCUCGCGUGGAAUCAAAGAGCGUACGACGGCCUUUGUCUUGGCCUAUUGUGCGGUCUCAAUAGUCUUAGUGAAUACAACAGUGAUUUUUUUAUAUAAAAUUAUUGUAUAUUUUUUUAUGAAAGUUGGCCUGCACCUGUUUAAAACCUGUAAUAUUGUUAUUCAUUCUUGUUAAUUUGUACCUCUUUUGUUCUUAGGGCCAGGGGCAUUGCUUGUGUUGUUUACCUAUUGCUUCGUUUGGCCAAUUAUAGAGAAACUUGUAAACGGUGCAGGUGGCCCAAUAAAAUUAAAGCACGGAUAACCAGA
Long non-coding RNA from Orbicella faveolata, 1567 nucleotides. The record is from RefSeq and is a predicted model, not a curated record. Lineage: Eukaryota; Metazoa; Cnidaria; Anthozoa; Scleractinia; Merulinidae.